RNAcentral lists this non-coding RNA (23 nucleotides) under Rattus norvegicus (Norway rat). Lineage: Eukaryota; Metazoa; Chordata; Mammalia; Rodentia; Muridae. The record is from RNAcentral.
AGAAAGGGUGCCAGAGCCAGGGC